AAAGUUAUAGUCAAAAAUGACAUUUGGGUUGCAUUCAAAAAGUGCUCUAAUUGAGCUAACUUUA
Molecule: transfer RNA, 64 nt
Filed under: Paratya australiensis
Lineage: Eukaryota; Metazoa; Arthropoda; Malacostraca; Decapoda; Atyidae
Description: tRNA-Ala
Source: RNAcentral